AAUGCACCAAUUUGUAAGUCGCUCUGGAUAAGAGCGUCUGCUAAAUGACGUAAG
Molecule: non-coding RNA, 54 nt
Organism: Salmo salar (Atlantic salmon)
Lineage: Eukaryota; Metazoa; Chordata; Actinopteri; Salmoniformes; Salmonidae
Source: Rfam